CUUCUCACACCUUGUUCAACAUUUGACACUUUUGCACCCUGUCAGGUUUAUUCAAGUAUUGCAUUUAUUUUGUUAACUAGCCAAAAAGCUGUUUUAAAAUCCACCUGUUCAACAGACUGAUCAGGCUGGGGAUGCCAGUAAUUCCACACCGACACGAAUGAUUUCAAAGUUAAGAAAAUCCAAACAAAUGAACACUCGGAAGUAAAAUUCAACAGGUGAUGCUUACCAGUAAAAACGCGAAUAAGAAGUUAUCGAAAAGUGCUGGUAUCUUUACUUAAUCUAAGCCAAUUUGAUAUGAACAACCGGAAGAGACUAGUCAAAGAGCGUGUUCAUAAGAACAAUAGGAAUGGUCAAGGACAUAGUGAAAUAAUCUUAAGAGCAUGGAUUGGAUACUUGAAGUCAUUGAAAGAAAGGAAUGUCCAACUUCUGCAAGUGGAAAGAACUCAAAUGAAGUGGGAGAAGGAGUUUCAGAAAAUGGAUUGUAAACUAGAGAAUUUAGAACAAAGGCUGGAUGUUUACGCCUCACGCAGGGCAGCUGAAAAAGACAAAAAUUCAGAAGAAUGAGGACUGUUAAAUAUUUAAAAUACUAGCAUUAAAUUAUUCCCUAAUGAUUAAAUAAUUAUUGUAAUUAACUUAUGAGAAGUAUUUGUUAUUCCAAAAAUAAAUAUGUAUAAAUAAUGUAAGAUUUAGACAUGGCUUUGUGCAUAUGAAGUUGAAACCGAAAAGAUAUACAUUCAUUCACUGCAUUGCUACUAAAUACUAGUAAGCUCAUUAUCACUGACAAUGGGUUUAACAUAAAAAAAAUAAUGAUUAUUAUAUAGCUCAGUACAUUGCAUACAGUACAAUAUAGAACCAUUUUAACAAGAGCUUGGACUUUGGGUAGUUGUGUCAAACAGCAAUGUGACAUAGGCCUGUCUAUUUCAUUGUUGGUAAUUCAGCCAUGGCUCUUUGAAAUCAGCAAGAUUUGUCUGGCUUUUGAGCUAAGACUACGCAAUCAGUGUAUAUUUUGCUUGAAACAGCGUCAUUCGUAACUUGUUUCAACGCAAGAGAUAGAUAGCUACGCACUUCUGAAAGUCCAAGGUCUUGUUAAAAUGGUUCUAACUAUGGACGAUGUUGUCCAGUAAGGACCCAUCUUUAGAGGGCUGGAUGUUUGUAAUCAUUUAUAGAAAAUAUCGAUCACCUCAAGAUAAGUUCAAUAUACAACGAUAUAAAAAGAUAUUAAAAUUUUACAACCUACAAUACAUAUCUAUGAAAAAUUUCUUCACUGAAUAAUACUGUAAUUUCCUUAUUUUACUCGAGUACCUAAUUCCCCGAUUCAACGAUUUAGCAUCAAAUCGCGAGAAUGUAAAAUCGCGAACGCCGAAUUUUUAUCAUAUUCCAAAUAGUUUACAUCUGUACACAAAUUAAAGAGAGAUUUUAAAAUCCGCGAGAUGUGCUUAUCGCGAUUUUACGCGGAUAUUUAUUUCUCGCGUUUAAUAAGGAAUUUACGGUAGUUUAUAGCUAGAAAAAUCAUACAUUAAAACUUAAGGUAGGUCUGAUAACUAAUUAUCAUUGCUAGGUCUGCCUUACACUGAUGUUUCAUGUAUGUAUAACUAUCUCCUAGUGUCAAAAUCUAAAAAUGAUUUUCGUGGGUUUAAGUUGAUUUUUUCCAGAGCUUUUUUGAUAUCAUAAAUGAUUUUGUUCAUGUUAACUGUACUUUAUACUUUAAGAAAAUAUGUAUGUCAAAAAUAAGAUAUUUUCGAAACUUUCGAUUUCAUUUCUUGUAAAAAGUAUAACGGGAAUCUUUACUCCAUUUAUUUUUCCAAAGAAAGGUCAAAAACAUAUUUAUUAUCAUUUUACUGAAAUAUAGAUGCAUGUAUCCUAAAUAU
Long non-coding RNA from Magallana angulata, 1868 nucleotides. RefSeq lists it as uncharacterized. NCBI's taxonomy places the organism in Eukaryota, Metazoa, Mollusca, Bivalvia, Ostreida, Ostreidae. The record is from RefSeq and is a predicted model, not a curated record. The transcript is spliced from 5 exons.